AUUCCUAUGCCCCACGUGGGCACUUGCGGCGGCUUGUAAAGUGAGUGAUCACGCACACGGGGGGCACUGGGGGCACGAGCAGACACGAGAAGCUGUGAAGAGGGUAGGAGGUCCAGAUUCCCAGCAGACGGUGUGGUUGUCUCGGCAUACCCUGGGAGGGCAGGUGUUUGAGGGGUGCUGGGGACAGCUUCCCUUUGCAGCCCGUUCCCCUCCACAACCCCCGCCCCCAGCCCCAUGACAACUGCAUGGCCUCUCCCUUUCAUGCUCAGGAUAUUUGAUAAAGUGGCUCAAUAGCAGGGGACUACACUUGCUUGUGUCACAGAAGCUUGGUUUGGUCGCCAUAUCUCUGCAUGAGACCCUUAGGAUCGAAAGGACUGGAGGGCCACCUGGAACCCAUGGGCAAGCCCCCUGCAUGGCUGGUGGCAGCCGGCCAGCUCCGGGGCCUUCUGAGGCCAUAGGCCGUUGCUUGGUCCGGACCAUUACCUUUCUACUCGUUGGAACUGGCUGAACCACACGUCCCUGCUGGGCAGCUCCCUGGAGGGCUGAGAGCUGGCGCUCACUCGCUGCUCCGCCCUGACAGUCCCCCUGCUAUGGCGCAGACAAGAGGCUUCAUCUUUCAGCAGACUACACAAUAGAGGGAAAGAAACAAAAGCACAGACACAAACCGAUCCAUUUGCACAAGUGAACUUACUCUCGGGACUAAAUUCUAGUUCUUGGCACCACAUUCUUCUGAAAUGGUCUUGGAGCAGCAUGGCAGACAAUCUACUGAACCCGUUUCCCCAAAAAAGAGAUGGCAUUCAGCUGCGAGGAGACAGACUCUGCGGUCACAGUAAGGGAAGCACAUCUCGAGCUUCCACCUAAGUCUGGACGGAGAAAGAGCAAGAGAAUUUGCACACAGUCCACUGGUUUUUGACAAAUGCAUAGCUGUGUGGCUCCUAUACAAUCACCUUGCAGAGUCCAUCAUCCUCCUGACGUCCUGAUGCAUCCCCCUGGAGUCAGUCUCUCCUACUCCACUCCAACAACUGCUCAUCUGACCUUCGUCCCUAUGCUCUUCCAGAACGUCACAUAAAUGGCAUCAGCCCGUAGCCUCUUGGUUGGGCGCCUUCCACUUAGCGUGAUGCAUCGGAGCUGCAUCCACCCCUUGUCAGUGCUGAGAGGUACUCCGCUGUGUACAAGGACAGCACCACCGAUGGAUAUUUGGAUUUUUCCUUAUUUCGCAAUGCUGAAAGAUAAAUUGAAGCAAUCUCUGGAAGAUUUUGAACUCUUUGGAGGAAAGAAAGUGUAUAAAGACAAGGCAUCAUUAUCAUCAUAAUCUUGAGCACCACUCUGCCAAGUACACAGAGAAAUUAUUAAUCAUCCCUUAACUUUGACGGAACACAACUAUCAUUUCUGCAAUUGAGAUCUGCAGAUAAUUAGAAAGCACGCUGCCUCAGCCUACCAGUUGCCGCCUUCCCUCCUGAUUACCGGGGUGUCCUUGGGUAGGCCUCGUGCCCAUGACAGCCGCCAGGACGCAGCCGAGGCGCCGCGGCGGCAAGUGUGCUUGGGGAGAGCGCGCGCCGGCGACAGGACUCCCUGGCACAGUGUUCUGGGAAGCGGCACACUCGGCCUGUCUCUGUCACUUGUUAGAUGUGGUUUAAUUAAGCAAGGAGGGUCACCGUGGGGAAGCCUGCUCUGCCCACGAUUUGAUUUGCGAGAUGGUUGAAACGUUUGGAAGCUCCUUUAAGAGACCAGGUGGUAAAAAUGAGGGGGGUCGUUCACCUGAGUGGUUAGAUGCGGAGCAGCUGAGACACACGACACUUUGUGGAGGGCGUUCCCGGGCGGGGGUGCCUCCGACCUGGUGCUGGGGGCAAGGAGCUGGGGCCACCCGGUGCCCCGGGGGCUCCUCGUGCACCCACCUGCAGGCCCCGCCAGGCCGAGGGGGCCUGGAUCCCUGGGAAGGCAGGGAAGUCUGCCCCCCCCCUUUAUUAUUUUGAUGCAGUCAUAGGUUCACCCUGGCUGUAAGACGUAACGCACGGGGAUGGCGCCCUCUCCGUCAUCAGUGUCCCUCUGCAAGGACACCCUGCAGGACCGCGGCAAAUCGCACAGCCAGGCUGUCGGCCCGGAUGCAAAGCCCGGCCCCGUUGGGGUCUCCCGCUCCCCUUUGUGCGUGCUUGUGUGUGCGUGUCGCUCUCGCGGCUCGGCCAAGGCGCCUCCGCCUCGCCGUCCUGGUCUGGAGAGGCGGCCUCGCUGUCUCUGCUCUCCGAGCGUGGCAGGGAUGUGGCGAGGACUCCAUAAAUCUUCGCUGAAGAACUGUUCAACUCCCCCUGAAGGGAACCGUAGGACUUUCAUGCCGAAUCAGAGACGUGAUAAGGAAGCAUUUGUCAAAAUAGAUGAGGCCCUGGCAAAGUCCCAUCAGCCAAGGGCUUCGAGCAGAGCGUAUGCCGGCAGCACAGCAGCGGAGGCUCUCUGCGGGCGCGUCUGUCCGCACGUGAGACACGCGUGGCUGGGCCUGCCAGCAGAUCGUCGCAUCUCGAGCAUCUGAAGCAUCUUCAGGCGUCCAGUCCCGGUGCUGUGACGGCCUCCUCUCGCGGAGUGACGCAGAUGCCGGAGGACCGUGGGCAGGAGCAUCCUCAGGGCUCUAAUGAGGAGCUUCCAAGCCUCUAGGGCAUCGCCUCCGAUUGCCAUGCCCUGGGACACGUCACAGCAGCUCCUACUGGUUUGCAAGACACGUGUCCUGGGCAGCGGGUGGCACGCAGGCCUGGACGCCGUCCAUGCUCUCGGUGGCGCUCCGUCCGCAGCAGGCUCCUCCGCUGCCGCAGCCGACGCUGUGAGGGUAGAAGGGUAGUGACACGGCGGCAGCUUGGGGGUGGCUGCGUGCUAGCUGCACCACAGGAGAGUGGUGGGCACGUGGGCACGUGGUCCUCGCGUGGUCCUCACAUGGUCGUUGCACGGAAGUGGCGUGGACGUUGUGCGGCAGGUGUGUGAUGACAGCAUGAUCCUUACGCGGCAGGCACAUGGUCGGCGUGUGGCUAUGUCGUACCCACACGGUACGGGCGUCAUAGAUGCGAGCUGCGGCGACUGGUACUUGGGGACAGCUCCAGGUGCUUAGAAGAGCCGUGACCUGGAUCCAGACAGACACAUGGUCAGGUCCUGGUUGCACCGCUGACCGCCGUGUGAGAGCCCUCGGUGCGCCGGCUCCCGCCCGUUGCGGCCGCACGGUGCCCUCUGCGGACUUGCACUCAGCGGGGCAAACUCUGCAUGUGCCACACGGGGCUUGGUUUAUCGUUGGAGGAGCUCAAAUCAUCUGACCCUCAACCAACAGAAACCAAAAGGCGUUCGUGCCUCUCGGGGCCGAGGCCUGCACCGGGGGCCGGCACCCCCGUGUCAGGGGAGCGAAGGGCAGCGGCGGUGUCCCAGGGGUGGAAAUGUCCCCGGGCAGCACGCUAUGCAGCACGGGCCACCGCGGGCACGACAGUGUCCUGAGUCAGGCUCACCGUCCCGUAGGCCUCACCUGCCUGGUGCGGAAACACCACCGGCCCUCCUGCGGAGCGGGGAGGGGCCGAGGGGCCGAGACCUUCCCCCACAUACGGGUUCUUGCACAACGGAUGCAGCCCCCCAGGUUUCUCCAUCGGGAAGCAGGGACAAGCCCCAGUACUGGCGGGGCCGGCUACAGAGGCAGCGCUCGCGUUGCGCAGUCCCUCCCCGCCUCCCUGGGCCACGUGCCCCGGCCUUGAGCAGUCUCUGCCCUGAGUCCCCCACCCCGUGCCUUCGCCUGGACCGACCCCCCUCGGCCCUGCCGGCGUGGCUCGGCCAAUCCGGUCCCGGGACACAGGCAGGCCUGCAGGGUCCGGGGGCCUGACCCGCCUCGGAUCUUGCUCCUCCCACUUCGGUCUCUUCACAACAACGAAGUGGAGCGAGUGGAAGUCAGAUGAGGAGUUUCAACAGCGCAGU
Molecule: long non-coding RNA, 3930 nt
Organism: Canis lupus familiaris (dog)
Lineage: Eukaryota; Metazoa; Chordata; Mammalia; Carnivora; Canidae
Exons: 5
Source: RefSeq, a predicted model, not a curated record